UUACGGCCACGUCAUAUUGAAACACCGGUUUCCGUACUAUGCUUGAAGUUAAGCAACAUUGAGACUGAUCAGUACCUGGAUGGGUAACCGCUUGGGAAUAAUAGGUGCUGUAAG
Non-coding RNA from Acanthosepion pharaonis, 114 nucleotides. NCBI's taxonomy places the organism in Eukaryota, Metazoa, Mollusca, Cephalopoda, Sepiida, Sepiidae. The record is from the annotation of a GenBank genome assembly.